This 253-nucleotide ribosomal RNA is filed under the name uncultured bacterium. RNAcentral's name for it is "partial 16S ribosomal RNA". It matches the Rfam family "Bacterial small subunit ribosomal RNA", at positions 524 to 776 of the family's 1533-position model. The record is from RNAcentral.
UACGAAGGGGGCUAGCGUUGUUCGGAAUCACUGGGCGUAAAGCGCACGUAGGCGGAUUUUUAAGUCAGGGGUGAAAUCCCGAGGCUCAACCUCGGAACUGCCUUUGAUACUGGGGAUCUGGAGUCCGGGAGAGGUGAGCGGAACUGCGAGUGUAGAGGUGAAAUGCGCAGAUAUCAGGAGGAACACCAAUGGCGAAGGCAGCUCGCUGGGACGGUACUGACGCUGAGACGCGAAAGCGUGGGGAGCAAACAGG